RNAcentral lists this ribosomal RNA (106 nucleotides) under uncultured bacterium. Its description in RNAcentral is "partial 16S ribosomal RNA". It matches the Rfam family "Bacterial small subunit ribosomal RNA", at positions 1379 to 1482 of the family's 1533-position model. The record is from RNAcentral.
CCUUGUACACACCGCCCGUCACACCGUGGGAGUUGGUUUCACCCGAAGGUGGUGCGCUAACCCGCAAGGGAGGCAGCCAACCACGGUGGGAUCAGCGACUGGGGUG